GACGAACGCUGGCGGCGUGCUUAACACAUGCAAGUCGAACGGAAAGGCCCUGCUUUUGUUGGGUUCUCGAGUGGCGAACGGGUGAGUAACACGUGAGUAACCUUCCCUCGUCUUUGGGAUAACUUCAGGAAACUGGGGCUAAUACCGGAUAUGAGCUCCUGCUCCAUGGUGGUGUUUGGAAAGUUUCGGCGGUUGGGGAUGGACUCGCGGCUUAUCAGCUUGUUGGUGGGGUAGUGGCUUACCAAGGGUUUGACGGGUAGCCGGCCUGAGAGGGUGACCGGGGAAAAGGGGAGUGAGAUAGGGCGCAGAAGGGAACGGGAGGCAGGAGGGGGGAAUAUUGAACAAUGGGGGGAAGGGUGAUGAAGAAACGCAGGGAGCGGGAAGAAGGCAUUGGGGUGGUAAAAAGAAUUAGAAUGUGAAGAAGAGUGAGUGACGGUAAUGGGUAAAGAAGCACCGGCUAACUACGUG
This 468-nucleotide ribosomal RNA is filed under the name uncultured bacterium. Its description in RNAcentral is "partial 16S ribosomal RNA". It matches the Rfam family "Bacterial small subunit ribosomal RNA", at positions 28 to 507 of the family's 1533-position model. The record is from RNAcentral.